Long non-coding RNA from Eriocheir sinensis (Chinese mitten crab), 1029 nucleotides. RefSeq lists it as uncharacterized. The transcript has 4 exons. The record is from RefSeq and is a predicted model, not a curated record. Lineage: Eukaryota; Metazoa; Arthropoda; Malacostraca; Decapoda; Varunidae.
GUUAAAAUGGGCUAAGGGCUAUUUAGUAUAGUAAGAGAAAAGUGUAACCGGAGGAAGAGAGAGCCUCGCCUGGGUCUGGGGGACGGGGAGAUAGACCCCCACACCCAUGGACAGGCUCAGAUGAUGACGGGGGCGCCGCCCAUGCAGAGGGGGAGGUCGUCGGCAGGGGCGGCGGGGGCAGCGGCCCCAUAUUCACAUGAUGAUGAUGAUGAUGAUGAUGCACCGCCCUUGCCAAGGGGGAGGCCGUCGGCAGGGGCGGCGGGGGCAGCGGCCCCAUAUUCACAUGAUGAUGAUGAUGAUGAUGCACCGUCCUUGCCAAGGGGGAGGCCGUCGGCAGGGGCGGCGGGGGCAGCGGCCCCAUAUUCACAUGAUGAUGAUGAUGAUGAUGAUGCACCGCCCUUGCCAAGGGGGAGGCCGUCGGCAGGGGCGGCGGGGGCAGCGGCCCCAUAUUCACAUGAUGAUAUAUAUACAGGUGACUCGCGAGUCGGGACAAAGACGACGAUGAAGACAGGACGAACAUACAGGUGACUAUGACGGUGGGAGGAGCCGCGAGUCUGACAAAGACGACGAUGAAGACAGGACGAACAUACAGGUGACUAUGACGGUGGGAGGAGCCGCGAGUCUGACAAAGACGACGAUGAAGACAGGACGAACAUACAGGUGACUACACGGUGGGAGGAGCCGCGAGUCUGACAAAGACGACGAUGAAGACAGGACAAACACACACACAUCGCCGCGGUGGGUCGUGCAGUCCGCGGUGGAGGGUGGUGGCGUAGUCCCUCCUGCUGCUGCUGGCGUGGACGGCCAGGGCGUGGUGAGGGCCGCCGUGGUCGUGGUGGCGGCGGCAGUGGCUCGGUGGCCAGGAGCAGCAAGGCCUCGUGGGGUGGGGGUUCCCCAAGUGCACAAUCGAGUCGGUGCUCUCCUUGGGGCCGCCAGGUCCGGACCAGGACGGGCUCUCGCCACACCGAUGGUUGCGUCCAAACCAACAGUUUAACCCAAACAAAAAAAAAUGCAGCUGAUGGUGCAUCG